Molecule: long non-coding RNA, 239 nt
Organism: Mytilus californianus (California mussel)
Lineage: Eukaryota; Metazoa; Mollusca; Bivalvia; Mytilida; Mytilidae
Exons: 2
Source: RefSeq, a predicted model, not a curated record
AAAAAUAAAAUGCUUCGCUGAGCGCAGCCUGAUACGACCGCAGAGGUCGAACCCUGAACAGUUUGGGCAAAUUUGGACACAAUAUUCAAGCUUGAUACUGUCUGAAUUUGGAUUGUGAUCAAAUUUUUGACAUAAUAUAGGUUUCUGACACAAAAUAAAUGUGGUCAAAGAUCUUACAAAUAUAUUGCGCAAUACUGUCGAUUGAAGAUUUCUUCUUGAAACUUUUCAAAAAUUUGAAA